Pangasius djambal is the source of this 73-nucleotide non-coding RNA. The record is from the annotation of a GenBank genome assembly. NCBI's taxonomy places the organism in Eukaryota, Metazoa, Chordata, Actinopteri, Siluriformes, Pangasiidae.
GGUUGUGGUGGCUCAGUGGUUAAGGCUUUGUGCUACAGAUUCGAAGGUCUGGGGUCAAAUCCCAGCACUGCCG